AACCAACGUCCAAAUACUUGGAACUUGGAUUAGUCAUGAAUAACGAUUAAAUAUUAUAUGAUUUAUUUCCUCGUACGUAUGUUUGGUUUGUCAUGUAUUUUUCUUAAUUGAACGGACACGCAUAAAUUAAGGUUAACUAAAAGGUUAAGUAGCGCCACGCCCGGUAGAAAAUAGUAUGAUCUCGAUCGAUUGGACAUUCGAUAAUCGCUAGCUAUGAUUGCGAUUCUCGAAGUGAGAGUAAGAGACAAUGGCGUCGUUUCCAGUCACAUGUUUCUUGGUUAUUGUUCGAAAUUAUUCUUUUAACUUUGUGCGUGAAAUAUCUAAUAGAUUUAAGAACAGAGUGAUAUUUUAUAUAUAUACGAUUCGUGAUUAGUUUCAAAAACAAUUAUCUAAUUCAACUUUUAAAGAAAAGUUCAAUAAUAUGAUGGUAGUUUAAUCGCAAAAUGAUUAGUUGUUUCAAUUUUUGAAUAUAAUGAAAGUAAGAAAAAUACAUGAUAAUUUUACGACGUAGAAAAAGAAAAAAUUUCAUUGAAGGUUAUUCGUACAACGUGAAAGAAAUGGAAAUAAAUCAUCCUUGGCAAUACAGGAAUAUAAUCAAGCAAAUCUCAAAUCGUUUCUCUCUCUUUUUUUUUUGCAUUGGUCAUAUCUAAUGCUUAUACUAAUGUUUCAAAUUGUUUCAAUUGAAUUGAAGUAUUCGAAAAAUGAGGAAAAAUGAAGAAAAAAAAGUAACGAAGUGUUUCAAUUUUGGAAGGUUGGCAAGAUACAAGUGAUAAUCCAGUACUUCAGCAAGGCGUAACAAGUGUCUGUGUGACGUCACGCGGCUUUCUGGAGGCGGAGCCUGUGAUUGGGAGAGCAAGUGGGGGUGGGCUCUCCCGUAUCGUGGAUCGUUUGCCCCACCCUCGGGAUUUUGUUCCUUCGUACCACCGCUACUUUCAACCUCCUCCUUUUCUCUCCCUCGAUCUCUUUUCCUCUCUUUUGAAGUUUGUUCGGUGACCCCCCACCAACCUGUGUACUCCACCAGGUAGGAAGCUGUUACCUGUGAUAGCCAUUGCAAAAUGCAAUCCAGGUGGAACUUAUAGAACUGUAUAUUUGAUAUAUUUUUCUGUAAACUGGCGCCAGACUGUUAAUAAAGGUGCAAGGUUUUCUUUAAGCGAAA
This is a long non-coding RNA of Apis mellifera (honey bee), 1156 nucleotides long. RefSeq lists it as uncharacterized. NCBI's taxonomy places the organism in Eukaryota, Metazoa, Arthropoda, Insecta, Hymenoptera, Apidae. The record is from RefSeq and is a predicted model, not a curated record. The transcript has 3 exons.